GAUGAAGAACGUAGCGAAAUGCGAUAAGUAGUGUGAAUUGCAGAAUUCAGUGAAUCAUCGAAUCUUUGAACGCACAUUGCGCCCCUUGGUAUCCCGAUGGGCAUGCCUGUUCGAGCGUCAUUUCACCACUCAAGCCUGGCUUGGUGUUGGGCGACGUCCCCUUUGGGGACGCGCCUCGAAACGCUCGGCGGCGUGGCACCGGCUUUAAGCGUAGCAGAAUCUUUCGCUUUGGAAGUCGGGGCCCCGUCUGCCGGAAGACCUACUCGCAAGGUUGACCUCGGAUCAGGCAGGGAUACCCGCUGAACUUAAGCAUAUCAAUAAGCGGAGGA
Molecule: unclassified non-coding RNA, 329 nt
Filed under: soil metagenome
Description: partial contains 5.8S ribosomal RNA, internal transcribed spacer 2, and large subunit ribosomal RNA
Rfam family: 5.8S ribosomal RNA (bases 1-120)
Source: RNAcentral